Molecule: non-coding RNA, 987 nt
Organism: Ceratina calcarata
Lineage: Eukaryota; Metazoa; Arthropoda; Insecta; Hymenoptera; Apidae
Source: RefSeq, a predicted model, not a curated record
AUAUACAUAUUUCCAAGAUGGGGGAGAGAGUGACUGCAAGCUCUGUGACUCACGGUUCCGGAUCGAUUUUGAACGGGCUAUCUUAGUGACUAAGUGGUUUUCGUACUCGAAGAUAAUUUCUUAAAACUAAAUUCCUACUUCAAUCUACAAAGUGAGUUAAGCGACUUUAACUGUAUUGCCGGUAUAGAAAUUCAGGCUAAGCAAUCCGUUACGUGAUUCUUUAAUUUCGCACUGUACACAGUGCGCACGUGAGUCAUGUGAGACAUGACUUGCGGAUUUUCGAUCGUAUAUUAUUGCGAUUCAUCAAUAAGAACGUGGCUCUACCUAGUGUACAAUUUAGCAUUGUAAUUCUUGAGGGAAUACGUCUAUGAUUUUGUGGAAUCGGACAGUAAUUGUAAACGCGUUACAGCUAUUUUAUGAAAACGGCUGAAACUAGGUCUGUGAUGUAAACGUGUUUUGAUUAUAAGAAUCGCUGCACACGACAGCCACGGCAGAGUCAGAGUAAAAUAUAGAUAUACAAUCAAAUACUCUGUUAUAAUUAUCUGCAUUUCUUGGUAUUUCACCAGGAAGAUGUUGAAGCAAGAAAUCUCUAAUAUUCUCUCCAACCUCUUCAUCUUCUAUAUACUCAAACAAUCUUUGUACUAAAGGAAAUCUAUCCUGUUGAAGCCCUACUGUAUCAACACUAAAAGGAUCUAGAUUUAAAUUAAAAUUUAAUCCAACACAGACAGUAUUUCUUGAUUCAGUAUGGAUAGGUAUAAAUGAAAAAACAUGCAAUCUUUCAGCGUGACUUCUGGCGCGGUUUAAUGCGAUAUUGGACGGUGCCCUUGUAGCAAGAUUAACAACAAUAGGAAUAUUUUCUCUUUCUGCUUGGUGACGUACAAGAAAUGCAACAUGUGAGUUUCUAGGAGAUAAGUCAAGAUCGAUGCCUAUUGUGUAGCGAUGACUAAAAUUUGCUAAGAAACCUAAUAAAAACCCGUGACUCUCAAA